ACUCCUACGGGAGGCAGCAGUGGGGAAUAUUGCACAAUGGGCGCAAGCCUGAUGCAGCCAUGCCGCGUGUAUGAAGAAGGCCUUCGGGUUGUAAAGUACUUUCAGCAGUGAGGAAGGUGGGUAUGUUAAUAGCAUAUUCAUUUGACGUUAGCUGCAGAAGAAGCACCGGCUAACUCCGUGCCAGCAGCCGCGGUAAUACGGAGGGUGCGAGCGUUAAUCGGAAUUACUGGGCGUAAAGCGCAUGCAGGUGGUUUGUUAAGUCAGAUGUGAAAGCCCGGGGCUCAACCUCGGAAUUGCAUUUGAAACUGGCAAACUAGAGUACUGUAGAGGGGGGUAGAAUUUCAGGUGUAGCGGUGAAAUGCGUAGAGAUCUGAAGGAAUACCGGUGGCGAAGGCGGCCCCCGUGGACAGAUAACUGACACUCAGAUGCGAAAGCGUGGGGAGCAAACAGGAUUAGAUACCCUGGUAGGCUCU
RNAcentral lists this ribosomal RNA (473 nucleotides) under uncultured bacterium. RNAcentral describes it as "bacterial SSU rRNA". It matches the Rfam family "Bacterial small subunit ribosomal RNA", at positions 335 to 798 of the family's 1533-position model. The record is from RNAcentral.